This 125-nucleotide ribosomal RNA is filed under the name uncultured Clostridium sp. RNAcentral describes it as "partial 16S ribosomal RNA". It matches the Rfam family "Bacterial small subunit ribosomal RNA", at positions 383 to 526 of the family's 1533-position model. The record is from RNAcentral. Lineage: Bacteria; Bacillati; Bacillota; Clostridia; Eubacteriales; Clostridiaceae.
CUGAUGCAGCACGCCGCGUGAGUGAUGAAGGUCUUCGGAUUGUAAAGCUCUGUCUUUUGGGACGAUAAUGACGGUACCAGAGGAGGAAGCCACGGCUAACUACGUGCCAGCAGCCGCGGUAAUAC